This 335-nucleotide ribosomal RNA is filed under the name uncultured Bacillota bacterium. RNAcentral describes it as "bacterial SSU rRNA". It matches the Rfam family "Bacterial small subunit ribosomal RNA", at positions 28 to 351 of the family's 1533-position model. Lineage: Bacteria; Bacillati; Bacillota. The record is from RNAcentral.
GACGAACGCUGGCGGCGUGCUUAACACAUGCAAGUCGAGCGAUGAAACCCUUCGGGGUGAAUUAGCGGCGGACGGGUGAGUAACACGUGGGUAACCUGCCUCAAAGAGGGGAAUAGCCUCCCGAAAGGGAGAUUAAUACCGCAUAAUAUGUUUUGAUCGCAUGAUCUUAACAUCAAAGGAAUUUUCUUCGGAUUAUUUCACUUUUGAGAUGGACCCGCGGCGCAUUAGCUAGUUGGUGAGGUAAAGGCCCACCAAGGCAACGAUGCGUAGCCGACCUGAGAGGGUGAUCGGCCACAUUGGAACUGAGACACGGUCCAGACUCCUACGGGAGGCAG